GACGAACGCUGGCGGCAUGCCUAACACAUGCAAGUCGAACGGGACCGUCCGGUCUAGGGUCGACCGGGUGCGUAAGGCGUGGUAACCUGCCCGUAGGUUCCGCACAACUCCCCGAUAGGGGUGCUAAUAUCGGAUAAUGUCUUCGGACGUAAGAGUUAUCGAAUGUGGGUGGGGCCGCGUUGGAUUGGCUAGUUGGUAGGGUACAAGCAUACCAAGGCGUCGAUCCAUAGCUGGUCUGAGAGGAGGAUCAGCGACACUGGGACUGAGCCCCGGCCCAGACUCCUACGGGAGGCAGCAGAUGGUAAUAUAGGACAACGGGCGAGAGCCUGAUCCAGCAAGGCCGGGUGAGCGGUGAAGGCCUUGGGAUUCUAAAGCUCUUGUACCCGGGAUGUUAGUGACAGUACCGGGAGAAUAAGCUCCGGCUAACUACGUG
Molecule: ribosomal RNA, 433 nt
Filed under: uncultured bacterium
Lineage: Bacteria
Description: partial 16S ribosomal RNA
Rfam family: Bacterial small subunit ribosomal RNA
Source: RNAcentral